GACGAACGCUGGCGGCGUGCUUAACACAUGCAAGUCGAACGAAAAGAGGGGAAGAGCUUGCUCUUUCCGGAAUUGAGUGGCAAACGGGUGAGUAACACGUAAACAACCUGCCUUCAGGAUGGGGACAACAGACGGAAACGACUGCUAAUACCGAAUAAGUUCCAAGAGCCGCAUGGCCCAUGGAAGAAAAGGUGGCCUCUACCUGUAAGCUAUCGCCUGAAGAGGGGUUUGCGUCUGAUUAGCUGGUUGGAGGGGUAACGGCCCACCAAGGCGACGAUCAGUAGCCGGUCUGAGAGGAUGAACGGCCACACUGGAACUGAGACACGGUCCAGACUCCUACGGGAGGCAGCAGUGGGGAAUCUUCCGCAAUGGGCGAAAGCCUGACGGAGCAACGCCGCGUGAGUGAUGACGGCCUUCGGGUUGUAAAACUCUGUGAUCCGGGACGAAAAGGCAGAGUGCGAAGAACAAACUGCAUUGACGGUACCGGAAAAGCAAGCCACGGCUAACUACGUG
RNAcentral lists this ribosomal RNA (513 nucleotides) under uncultured bacterium. RNAcentral describes it as "partial 16S ribosomal RNA". It matches the Rfam family "Bacterial small subunit ribosomal RNA", at positions 28 to 507 of the family's 1533-position model. The record is from RNAcentral.